GAUGAAGAACGUAGCGAAAUGCGAUAAGUAAUGCGAAUUGCAGAAUUCAGUGAGUCAUCGAAUCUUUGAACGCACAUUGCGCCCUGUGGUAUUCCGCAGGGCAUGCCUGUUCGAGCGUCAUUUCAACCCUCAAGCUCUGCUUGGUGUUGGGCCCUGCCCGCUGCGGCCGGCCCUAAAGACAGUGGCGGUGCCGCCUGGCCCUGAGCGUAGUACAUCUCUCGCUCCAGCGCCCGGUGGUAGCCUGCCAGAACCCCAACUCUCGUGGUUGACCUCGGAUCAGGUAGGGAUACCCGCUGAACUUAAGCAUAUCAAUAAGCGGAGGA
RNAcentral lists this unclassified non-coding RNA (323 nucleotides) under soil metagenome. RNAcentral's name for it is "partial contains 5.8S ribosomal RNA, internal transcribed spacer 2, and large subunit ribosomal RNA". The stretch from base 1 to 120 matches the Rfam family "5.8S ribosomal RNA", at positions 35 to 154 of the family's 154-position model. The record is from RNAcentral.